RNAcentral lists this long non-coding RNA (1162 nucleotides) under Crocodylus porosus (Australian saltwater crocodile). Its description in RNAcentral is "lncRNA (ENSCPRG00005005041.1)". Lineage: Eukaryota; Metazoa; Chordata; Crocodylia; Crocodylidae. The record is from RNAcentral.
UACUCAUGUGUCCUCUCCCUCUCUCUUUGGUCUUUAUUACUGCAGAGUCCAAGUAAAUGGGCUGGCCAGAUGACGGGGUCUUGUUUGCCAUCUGUGGAGGUGUGGUGCUUGCAAUGAGUAGGAAAAUACAGUGAAGCAGAGAUGAACUGGAUGGAUUUCUCAGCCAAUGCAGUCCAAGAAGAGGGACCCUGUUCCCUGGAUAUACCAGCCCUGCACAUGCUCUGAGGAAGUGCACGAUGGGGCCGGCUGACAGGACCAGGCUCUGAUGGAACAUACCCAGCACAAACCGUGGGCCCUGGGCCAGGGAUUUCUCUCUAUGUCUUUGCUGCUCUCUCAUGAGGCUUACUUGGCUGCACAUCCCCCUGGAUGUCACACCCUUGGCUACAACAAGCUCACCCAUCUCCUCACAGCUGUGGCUGGAUUCUCACCUGGCACCAGGGCAGAGUGGGGCACACACGUCCCAAAUCAGGCUGGUAGCAAUUUUAGCCUCCCCUCUGGCACAGAACAACAAAAACAAAAGUCUCAGACAACUUCAACAUCCCAGGCCUUCCGCUGCUCCUAUCUGGGGAUGGUCAAAGGGCAGCUGUGAGCAGGUAAGAUCAGAGGUGCUUUACUUCUUGGACACAGCCCUACAUCAGGCACUACCUAGAGUCUUCUGGGCAGCAUGGAUUAGUACUGGCUCUGGAAGUGCUAUACCAGCCCUUAAAUUAUGGUCUGGGAAUCUGAUACCCUGGGUUAUACUGGUAGCUCUGGGAAGAAGAAUGGGUUAAUAGAAGAGUCAAGAGGAGGCUGGAUUCUUAGUUCCAGCUCUUAGAGGGAGCACAGUCUAGUGGGUAAAGUGUAGGGACUAGGAGUUAGAUCUCCUGGGUUUGUUGGGCUUCCUCUUUCUGGGUGGGCUUGGCACUCAGGACCUUCUGUACCAGUGAUCUGGAACAAGUGGCACAAGCAUCCUGUUGUGUCUUACUGUGUUUUCCUUGUACUGUCCCUUUAAGGCCAAAGCCCUCCUGGUCAGCACUGCAGGGUUCACUUUACUUCUGGCAGUUUUACAGCACUGGGGACUCCAUGUUCUCUGCUGUGAGGAGCCAGAGGCAUUCUUGGUUCCUCUCCCUCCACAGGACUGGAGUGGGUCAAGUCAGAGGCAGAGCCAAGUGUAAGAUCUGUA